This 753-nucleotide non-coding RNA is filed under the name Andrena chrysosceles. Lineage: Eukaryota; Metazoa; Arthropoda; Insecta; Hymenoptera; Andrenidae. The record is from RNAcentral.
CAGUUGAUUAGUUAAUUAGGUUAAUUGAUUUAUAAAUUUAAUUUUGAAAUAAUGAGUUAUUUAUAUAAUAAUUAUUUUUGUAGAGAUUUGAUUUAAAAAUGAAUGAAAGUUUGAUUUAGUAAUUGAAUUUAAUAAAGGUAAAUUUAGUGCCAGCAACAGCGGUUAUACUUAUUUUGUGAAUUAAUUUAUUUAAUUUUUGAAUUAGUGAAUUAUUAUUAGGAUUUAAUUGUAUUAAUUGGAAAUUUAGUGAAAUAUUUUUUGUUUUUAUGUUAAAUUUUAUUUAUCUAAUAUUUAUUAAAUUUUAGAUAAAACUAGGAUUAGAUACCCUAUUAUAAAAAUGAUUUAAGUUGAAUUGAUUAUUAAAUGUAAAUCAUUAAAAUUAACAGAUAUGGCGGCUCUAUAAUUUAUUUAGAGGAAUUUGUAUUUUAAUUGAUAACCCACGAUAGGAUUAACUAUAAAUUUCUUUGUGUAUUGCUGUUUGAAGAAUUUAUUUUUAUGUUAUUUUUAUAAUAUUUGAUUUAAAUAUUAAUUCAAGUCAAAAUGCAGGAUUUUAUAGGUUGUAUGAAUUACAAUAAAUUUAAUUUCUGGAUAAAUUGUUUUAAUAUGAUUUUAAAAUUGGAUUUAAAAGUAAAUUUAUUGAAUUAAGUUGGUUGAAGAUAACNUUUAUUUAGUGUACAAAUUGCCCGUCAUUCUCAUUAUAAGUGAGGAAAGUCGUAACAUAGUAAAUGUACUGGAAAGUGUAUUUUAUGAAAA